Long non-coding RNA from Aethalodelphis obliquidens (Pacific white-sided dolphin), 932 nucleotides. RefSeq lists it as uncharacterized. Lineage: Eukaryota; Metazoa; Chordata; Mammalia; Artiodactyla; Delphinidae. The record is from RefSeq and is a predicted model, not a curated record. The transcript has 3 exons.
GGAGGUCCUCCAGUGGAGCCGUCAUUUUCCAGAUGCAGACUCAGAGUCAGCUGGUCAGAGCGCCCACCUGGGAGAGUGCUUCACUCCCCUUCCAUCCCACGUGCGGUGCUUUCAAGGGGCUCCUCAAAUAAGGAAGGGAGGCUGGAGAUCAGGCGAGUAACCACAUCCUGCAUCAGGAAGAAAAGGCUUUCUCCCAGGCGGAUGUGGAAAGGCUUCUUGAAAUACCCUGGAGCCUGCUCUUACUACAGAAAAUGACAGCUGGCCAGUCCUCACAGCAAGUGGCUAGCUGAACCUGAAUGGCCCCUACAUUUUUUUAAAGAUACUGAUCCUGAACAGCCUGCAUCAGCACUGACUGUGUUCAGCAUGACUUGGAGUUCAAGGUGAACAGAGUCGUCCAAGUCUUUUCAGGGGCCGCUGCUGUUGCACUGAAUCAGCUCCAUCCUUGCGUCGCUCCCCUCAAGAUCAGGAUUCCAAGGAGGGAGAUGCCCAGCGGGGACCCAGAGCCAGGGAAGUCUGGUGUAACCUGAUUCACAGGCAAGCCUCCACCAGGACCACCCCACAACAGCACGCCCUGGGGGGAGGGUGGUCCCCCAAAGGAGAAGCAAGUGCUGCUACCAGAGAAGGUGGGAAAAGAACUUGACAGGUGGAAACAGCAGACAGCCCCCACACCUCCUCAUGGAAUGGAAUGCAUGAAAACAAGACUUUACACAUGGCAAGUGCUCAAAAUAGCAGCAAUGACUAGUCUCACCCAAUUUGUCAAUGUCUCAUAAAAUAUAUUUGGAAACACAAUCCAACUACACAUUAAAGCUAUAAGCUGCUAGACAAUACUUGCAUUAGCUUCUAUAAUUUGCAGGUUAUCUUUUGGGCCCUGGUUUCUGUGUUCUUCCAAAAUUCCCAAUAUAUAUUCUAAAUGAAAUAUGCAGCGCUGUACA